This is a long non-coding RNA of Brassica napus (rape), 1898 nucleotides long. RefSeq lists it as uncharacterized. The transcript is spliced from 6 exons. The record is from RefSeq and is a predicted model, not a curated record. Lineage: Eukaryota; Viridiplantae; Streptophyta; Magnoliopsida; Brassicales; Brassicaceae.
CUUACCAAUUAAAAUUUGAAUUGAACAGAUAAUAAAUGGGAUACAUAUAUAUACGUAGGCUGUAGCAAUCAAAUGAAGCUACAUAUACAUUAACCAAUAUCAUACCUUCAAACGGUUGACCCAUAUAUAAGAACCAAUAAAAUGGCAAAAGUUGUAAGAUAAUGAUAAUCUGAAAGUAAAGGCAUUUUGGUUGAACGGUCAUCUACAAUACUAAAAGGAGAAUAUGGUGAGCAGAUAGAGUGUCCACAUCAGCAUGGAAAUUCUAACCAAUGAAAAACAUUCCUUUAGCCAUGUCAGCACUUCUUGGACGAGAUUUAGAGAAACUGGACCUAUUUAGAGAAACUGGACCUUUGUUUGGCCCACUAGCCACAUCAUUCUCUUCUCUAACGAGUAGUUCAAUCGUUUCCUCUUCACUUUCGUAAGUUUUCAUAAAACUUACAAUUCUUUCUCUGCGACACAAGAGAAUUGUGCUUUCCUGGAACUGCUUCCGAGAUGGUAUUGAAUACAAAUGAUCAGUCUUCUUCGCCAUCGCUGUUAGGUCUGAUUGGAGUUCGUCCUCUUCUGAUGAUCAAUAGGCCUUAUCCGGAGAGUGUGUUGCGAGAUUUCUGCGUUGAAAUACAGCCAGCAUCUCCGCUCUGCUGCAGCUCAAGACUUCUGCUAUUGACAUCAAAAGAAGCAGAAUUGAAACACCAAACAAUCUCAUUGCACAGAUUUGAGAGGCCGGUACUGGAAAGCAGAGUAAACAUAAGCCUAAUCUGUUUGAUCAAAGAACUAUAUCAUCUCAUGGAGUCUGAAAAAAGUGGCUGGAACCUUUUGAUAUGAGUAUGCGACUGUAGAAGUGGGCAAAUGCAGAAAGCUAAAAUAAAAAGAUAGACGAGGCAAGUACUUAAUCACCAUCAGCUAUAUUUUAUAUUGAAUUUUUUUAGAAUCCGGAUUGAGCUAGAUGGUUGUUGAAGUUUUUGUUUACUAUUGACAUUGUUCAAGCGGCAAGGACUGUUCUCUUCUUCGUCAAGUUUACCUCAAGUGUCCACCAUUCCAAAGAGGUUAUGGUGUAAACCACAAAGAUCAGGUAUUGGACGUAAGAAAGUGUAUACUCGCAGGUCAACCUCAAUGAGCGAAGUCAUUCUCUGCAAACCCAGAUAGAGCUGUGUAGUCGGAUGACCCAACUGACCGUUGAGGUAGAGUUUGUGGAGUUAUAAACCUGCCAAGCGCACCGGUAUCUCGCCCUGCAGGAAGUUAAGAGAUAGAUCCCGUCUUAUAAGAAGAAAGUUCAGAUCCAGUUUUGGCUAUUUUAGCAGAAAGGACAAAGGAGGACUAAAUGAAGAAUUAAUGUACCAGUUAAUAGGAUUACCUUCUACAAGCCUCAGUGAAAUUAAAACUUGAUGGAUCAUUUUGAAAACGUUUGAGGUGGCUGUAAUUGUUGUUUUGAUAAGCGACUGUGACCGGAUUACAAAAGACAGAACCAGAAGAUGUUACUCACCAAGAAAACUCUUUGAAAUCACACUCAUCCAAUCUUUCUCAACAAGUACGAUCUUUGGAAGAGAAACCGAACGACUUCUUUUGACACACUGCGAGUGGUUCCAAGAUUUCAGUCAUGUGGUUAAUCGUCACCGUCACCGUUCUAACACUACUUUGGAUCAGCUCACUUUCUGUUAUAUGCGAGUUAGGGGUUACUCUACCAUAACGGGGGGAAAUGGUUGUUUCUUUGAGCAAGAGUUUGGACCCAACCCUGUUGAUUCCUCUCUCAAUUUAGUUAUGGAGAUUCUCAAAUGAAGUGGGGAGAGAACCAUUUGCAUGAUAGAAUGCUCUAUGUAUAACACUAGACCAAGUUCUUCUCAAAUUAAUGUUUUAACAUUACAAAAGUCUUACGUAAAUGGUAAUUACUUUCUUUAAAACAA